RNAcentral lists this ribosomal RNA (398 nucleotides) under Imbricatea sp. RNAcentral describes it as "partial small subunit ribosomal RNA". It matches the Rfam family "Eukaryotic small subunit ribosomal RNA", at positions 582 to 975 of the family's 1831-position model. The record is from RNAcentral. Lineage: Eukaryota; Cercozoa; Imbricatea.
AUUCCAGCUCCAGUAGCGUAUAUUAAUGUUGUUGCAGUUAAAAAGCUCGUAGUUGGAUUUCUGACUUGACGCGCCUGGCCCGCCUUGCGUUUCGCGGGUGAGUGCCGGAGCGCGUCGGUCAUCCUUCUAGAGAACGGCGCUACCCUUCACUGGGUCGGCGUCGCAAUCUAGAUCUUUUACUUUGAAAAAAUUAGAGUGUUCAAGGCAGGCUCGCGCUGUGAAUACAUUAGCAUGGAAUAAUAAUCUAGGACUUUGUUCCUAUUUUGUUGGUUUCUAGGAAUUAAGUAAUGAUUGAUAGGGAUAGUUGGGGGUGCUAGUAUUCAGCGGCCAGAGGUGAAAUUCUUGGAUUCGCUGAAGACUAACUUAUGCGAAAGCAUUCACCAAGGAUGUCUUCAUUA